CCGUAGCGAACAGCUCAGUAACACGUGGCCAAGCUACCCUAUGGACGUGGACACCCUCGGGAAACUGAGGCUAAUCCGCGAUACGGCUCCCACGCUUGAAUGCGGGGAGCCGGAAACGCUCCGGCGCCAUAGGAUGCGGCUGCGGCCGAUUAGGUAGACGGUGGGGUAACGGCCCACCGUGCCGAUAAUCGGUACGGGAUGUGAGAGCAAAUAGCCCGGAGAUGGAAUCUGAGACAAGAUUCCAGGCCCUACGGGGCGCAGCAGGCGCGAAACCUUUACACUGCACGCCAGUGCGAUAAGGGGACCCCGAGUGCGAGGGCAUACAGUCCUCGCUUUUGUACACCGUAAGGAGGUGUACGAAUAAGGGCUGGGCAAGGCCGGUGCCAGCCGCCGCGGUAAUACCGGCAGCCCGAGUGAUGGCCGCUGUUAUUGGGCCUAAAGCGUCCGUAGCCGGCCGAACAAGUCUGUCGGGAAAUCCAUCCGCUCAACGGAUGGGCGUCCGGCAGAAACUGUUCGGCUUGGGGCCGGAAGAUCCGAGGGGUACGUCCGGGGUAGGAGUGAAAUCCUGUAAUCCUGGACGGACCGCCGGUGGCGAAAGCGCCUCGGAAGGACGGACCCGACGGUGAGGGACGAAAGCUGGGGUCUCGAACCGGAUUAGAUACCCGGGUAGUCCCAGCCGUAAAC
RNAcentral lists this ribosomal RNA (684 nucleotides) under uncultured euryarchaeote. RNAcentral describes it as "bacterial SSU rRNA". It matches the Rfam family "Archaeal small subunit ribosomal RNA", at positions 76 to 758 of the family's 1478-position model. Lineage: Archaea; Methanobacteriati; Methanobacteriota. The record is from RNAcentral.